CCUACGGGGUGCAGCAGUGAGGAAUAUUGGGCACUGGGCGCGAGCCUGAACCAGCCAAGUAGCGUGAAGGAUGACUGCCCUACGGGUUGUAAACUUCUUUUAUAAGGGAAUAAAGGGAGCCACGUGUGCCUUUUUGUAUGUACUUUAUGAAUAAGGACCGGCGAACUCCGUGCCAGCAGCGGCGGUAAUAUGGAGGAUCCGAGCGUUUUCCGGAUUUGUUGGGUUUAAAGGGAGCGUAGAUGGGUUGUUAAGUCAGUUGUGAAUGUUUGCGGCUCAACUGUAAAAUUGCAAGUGAUACUGGCAGUCGUGAGUACAGUUGAGGUAGGCGGAAUUCGUGGUGUAGCGGUGAAAUGCUUAGAUAUCACGAAGAACUCCGAUUGCGAAGGCAGCUUACUAAACUGCCACUGACAUUGAUGCUCGAAAGUGUGGGUAGCAAACAGGAUUAGAUACCCGAGUAGUC
This 460-nucleotide ribosomal RNA is filed under the name uncultured bacterium. Its description in RNAcentral is "partial 16S ribosomal RNA". It matches the Rfam family "Bacterial small subunit ribosomal RNA", at positions 338 to 795 of the family's 1533-position model. The record is from RNAcentral.